This 233-nucleotide ribosomal RNA is filed under the name uncultured bacterium. RNAcentral describes it as "partial 16S ribosomal RNA". It matches the Rfam family "Bacterial small subunit ribosomal RNA", at positions 15 to 225 of the family's 1533-position model. The record is from RNAcentral.
GAUCAUGGCUCAGGACGAACGCUGGCGGCGUGCUUAACACAUGCAAGUCGAACGAAGAGCGAUGGAAGCUUGCUUCUAUCAAUCUUAGUGGCGAACGGGUGAGUAACGCGUAAUCAACCUGCCCUUCAGAGGGGGACAACAGUUGGAAACGACUGCUAAUACCGCAUACGAUCUGACCUCGGCAUCGAGGAUGGAUGAAAGGUGGCCUCUAUUUAUAAGCUAUCACUGAAGGG